Molecule: regulatory RNA element, 176 nt
Rfam family: Lysine riboswitch aptamer
About the family: Riboswitches are metabolite binding domains within certain messenger RNAs that serve as precision sensors for their corresponding targets.
Source: Rfam
AUACAAAGUAGAGGUUGCGUCGAUCAUCAGUAGCCGGCCGGAUGUUGCAGGAACAGAGGAAGGCCGAUGAAAGGGAGAGACGCCGAAGAUUCAUGCAGAACUGCCUGCGUGCUUCUGGGCAUAUGGUGAAGAACCAUAUGACUAUCAUCUGUGCAGGAUGGGGAGCUACGAAAGAA